UACGUAGGGUGCGAGCGUUGUCCGGAAUUAUUGGGCGUAAAGAGCUCGUAGGCGGUCUGUCGCGUCGGUCGUGAAAACUUGGGGCUUAACCCUGAGCUUGCGGUCGAUACGGGCAUGACUGGAGUUCGGCAGGGGAGACUGGAAUUCCUGGUGUAGCGGUGAAAUGCGCAGAUAUCAGGAGGAACACCGGUGGCGAAGGCGGCUCACUGGCUCGUUUCUGACGCUGAGGCGCGAAAGCGUGGGGAGCAAACAGG
RNAcentral lists this ribosomal RNA (254 nucleotides) under uncultured bacterium. RNAcentral's name for it is "partial 16S ribosomal RNA". It matches the Rfam family "Bacterial small subunit ribosomal RNA", at positions 524 to 776 of the family's 1533-position model. The record is from RNAcentral.